AACGGCCGCGGUAUCUUGACCGUGUGAAGGUAGCGUAAUCAUUUGUCUUUUAAAUGAAGACCUGUAUGAAUGGCACGACGAGGGCUUAACUGUCUCACUUUCUUAGUCAAUGAAAUUGAUCUCCCCGUGCAGAAGCGAGGAUAAAUACAUAAGACGAAAAGACCCUGUGGAGCUUUAGAUAAAAUAAUAGCUCGUAUUUUAACUUUCACCCACGCAACCUAUUAUUAUAUCUUCGGUUGGGGCGACCACGGAGAAAAACAAAACCUCCACGCGGAAAUAUCUAUAUUUCUUAGAAACAAGAGUAUACAACUCUAAAAUCCAGAAUAUCUGUCCUAAAAGAUCCGGCAUCAAUAAGCCGAUCAACGAACCAAGUUACCCCAGGGAUAACAGCGCAAUCCCCUUUUAGAGCCCAUAUCAACAAGGGGGUUUACGACCUCGAUGUUGGAUCAGGACAUCCUAAU
Molecule: ribosomal RNA, 461 nt
Filed under: Laimosemion agilae
Lineage: Eukaryota; Metazoa; Chordata; Actinopteri; Cyprinodontiformes; Rivulidae
Description: partial 16S ribosomal RNA
Rfam family: Bacterial large subunit ribosomal RNA
Source: RNAcentral